CCUACGGGAGGCAGCAGUGGGGAAUAUUGCACAAUGGGGGGAACCCUGAUGCAGCGACGCCGCGUGAGUGAAGAAGUAUUUCGGUAUGUAAAGCUCUAUCAGCAGGGAAGAAAAUGACGGUACCUGACUAAGAAGCCCCGGCUAAGUACGUGCCAGCAGCCGCGGGAAUACGUAGGGGGCAAGCGUUAUCCAGAGUUACUGGGUGUAACGGGAGUGUAGACGGUUGGGCAAGUCUGAUGUGAAAGUGCAAGGCACAACCGUGACACUGCAAUUGAAACGGGAAAAGUGGAGUACAGUUGAGGUAGGCGGAAGUAGGGGGGUAGCGGUGAAAUGCUUAGAUAUGACGAAGAACGUCGAUGGCGAAGGCAGCUGACAAAACUGUGACUGACAUUGAUGCUCGAUAGUGUGGGUAGCAAACAGGAUUAGAUACCCGGGUAGUC
Molecule: ribosomal RNA, 440 nt
Filed under: uncultured bacterium
Lineage: Bacteria
Description: partial 16S ribosomal RNA
Rfam family: Bacterial small subunit ribosomal RNA
Source: RNAcentral